This 274-nucleotide ribosomal RNA is filed under the name uncultured bacterium. RNAcentral describes it as "partial 16S ribosomal RNA". It matches the Rfam family "Bacterial small subunit ribosomal RNA", at positions 523 to 796 of the family's 1533-position model. The record is from RNAcentral.
AUACGGAGGGUGCAAGCGUUACUCGGAAUCACUGGGCGUAAAGGAUGCGUAGGCGGAUAAUCAAGUCAAAAGUGAAAUCCCACGGCUUAACCGUGGAACUGCUUUCGAAACUGGUUAUCUAGAAUAUGGAAGAGGCAGAUGGGAUUAGUGGUGUAGGGGUAAAAUCCGUAGAGAUCACUAGGAAUACCGAUUGCGAAGGCGAUCUGCUGGGACAUUAUUGACGCUGAGGCAUGAAAGCGUGGGGAGCAAACAGGAUUAGAAACCCCAGUAGUCC